AGUAGACUAGGUUAAUAGAGAUCGUCUGUUUUCAAAAUAGAAGGUUGCUUUGGGGUUGUCUGCUG
This 65-nucleotide transfer RNA is filed under the name Brachydistomum sp. PakPr2. RNAcentral's name for it is "tRNA-Trp". The record is from RNAcentral. Lineage: Eukaryota; Metazoa; Platyhelminthes; Trematoda; Plagiorchiida; Dicrocoeliidae.